ACUGCUCAGUAACACGUCGAUAAUCUGCCUUUAGGUUUGGGAUACCCUCGGGAAACUGAGGCUAACACCGGAUAGGGGAAGAUAACUGGAACGUUGCUUCCUUUAAAGGCAACGCCUAAAGAUGAGUCGGCGGCCGAUUAGGCUGUUGGUGGGGUAACGGCUCACCAAACCAAAGAUCGGUAGGGGCCUUGAGAGAGGUAGCCCCGAGAAGGGCACUGAAAUACUGGUCCUAGUCUUACGAGGUGCAGCAGGCGCGAGAACUUUACACUACACGCAAGUGUGAUAAGGGAACCCUAAGUGCUUUACUUAUAGUAAAGCUUUUGCCAAGAGCAAAAAUCUUGGCGAAUAAGUGGUGGGUAAGACGGGUGCCAGCCGCCGCGGUAACACCCGCGCCACAAGUGGCAACCACGUUUAUUGGGCCUAAAGCGUCCGUAGCUGGUCUGGUAAAUCUUUUGUGAAAUUGUUAGGCUCAACCUAACAACGUGCAGGAGACACUGCUAGACUUGGAACCGGAGAUGGGUCAGAAGUAUUAUUGGGGUAGCGGUAAAAUGUUAUAAUCCCUUUAAGACUACCGAUGGCGAAGGCAUCUGACUAGAACGGGUUCGACAGUGAGGGACGAAAGCCAGGGGAGCAAACCGGAUUAGAUAGAGAUUUUUGCGAAAAUAUUCGGAAAAAACAAUUAAGUGGGACAUUGUUUCGCAAAUCCCAUGAAAUAGACUUACGUUUGCAGUACACUACUAUAAGUCUGAUUGUAUAAUAACGCAGAAUAUCUCCUAAUUACCCGAGUAGUCCUGGCUGUAAACUCUGCGAGCUAGGUGUUGCAUAUUCUUCGAGAAUGUGCAGUGUCGAAAUGAAGAUGUUAAGCUCGCCGCCUGGGAAGUAUGGUCGCAAGGCUGAAACUUUAAGGAAUUGGCGGGGGAGCAC
Molecule: ribosomal RNA, 924 nt
Filed under: uncultured archaeon
Lineage: Archaea
Description: bacterial SSU rRNA
Rfam family: Archaeal small subunit ribosomal RNA
Source: RNAcentral